Molecule: ribosomal RNA, 497 nt
Filed under: uncultured bacterium
Lineage: Bacteria
Description: partial 16S ribosomal RNA
Rfam family: Bacterial small subunit ribosomal RNA
Source: RNAcentral
GAUGAACGCUGGCGGCGUGCCUAAUACAUGCAAGUCGAGCGGACGGACGAGAAGCUUGCUUCUCUGAUGUUAGCGGCGGACGGGUGAGUAACACGUGGAUAACCUACCUAUAAGACUGGGAUAACUUCGGGAAACCGGAGCUAAUACCGGAUAAUAUUUUGAACCGCAUGGUUCAAAAGUGAAAGACGGUCUUGCUGUCACUUAUAGAUGGAUCCGCGCUGCAUUAGCUAGUUGGUAAGGUAACGGCUUACCAAGGCAACGAUGCAUAGCCGACCUGAGAGGGUGAUCGGCCACACUGGAACUGAGACACGGUCCAGACUCCUACGGGAGGCAGCAGUAGGGAAUAUUCCGCAAUGGGCGAAAGCCUGACGGAGCAACGCCGCGUGAGUGAUGAAGGUCUUCGGAUCGUAAAACUCUGUUAUUAGGGAAGAACAUAUGUGUAAGUAACUGUGCACAUCUUGACGGUACCUAAUCAGAAAGCCACGGCUAACUACGUG